GGUGAGUUGGUUUAAACCAGGAGUUUGCUAAACUUCCGUAGGUUAUAAUGACCUACCGAGGGUUCGAAUCCCUCUCCUUCCGCCA
RNAcentral lists this transfer RNA (85 nucleotides) under Candidatus Pelagibacteraceae bacterium. RNAcentral's name for it is "tRNA-Ser". It matches the Rfam family "tRNA", at positions 10 to 71 of the family's 71-position model. From Rfam's summary of the family: Transfer RNA (tRNA) molecules are approximately 80 nucleotides in length. Their secondary structure includes four short double-helical elements and three loops (D, anti-codon, and T loops). The record is from RNAcentral. Lineage: Bacteria; Pseudomonadati; Pseudomonadota; Alphaproteobacteria; Candidatus Pelagibacterales; Candidatus Pelagibacteraceae.